AACGAACGCUGGCGGCGUGCCUAACACAUGCAAGUCGAACGAGACCUUCGGGUCGAGUGGCGCACGGGUGCGUAGCGCGUGGGAACCUGCCCUUAGGUUCGGAAUAACUCCUCGAAAGGGGUGCUAAUACCGGAUAAUGUCUUCGGACCAACGUUUUAUCGCCUUUGGAUGGGCCCGCGUUGGAAUAGCUAGUUGGUAGGGUAAAGGCAUACCAAGGCGACGAUCCAUAGCUGGUCUGAGAGGAUGAUCAGCCACCCUGGGACCGAGACCCGGGCCAGACUCCCACGGGAGGCAGCAGUGGGGAAUAUUGGACGAUGGGCGAAAGCCUGAUCCAGCAAUGCCGCGUGAGUGUUGAAGGCCUUAGGGUUGUAAAGCUCUUUUACACGGGAUGAUAUUGACAGUACCGGGAGAAUAAGCUCCGGCUAACUCCGUG
RNAcentral lists this ribosomal RNA (433 nucleotides) under uncultured bacterium. Its description in RNAcentral is "partial 16S ribosomal RNA". It matches the Rfam family "Bacterial small subunit ribosomal RNA", at positions 29 to 507 of the family's 1533-position model. The record is from RNAcentral.